Molecule: ribosomal RNA, 711 nt
Filed under: uncultured bacterium
Lineage: Bacteria
Description: bacterial SSU rRNA
Rfam family: Bacterial small subunit ribosomal RNA
Source: RNAcentral
AGAGUUUGAUCCUGGCUCAGAAUCAACGCUGGCGGCGUGCCUAACACAUGCAAGUCGAACGAGAAAGUGGAGCAAUCCACGAGUAAAGUGGCGCACGGGUGAGUAACACGUGACUGACCUACCUUUUAGUGGGGGAUAACCUAGGGAAACCUGGGCUAAUACCGCAUAAUACCUACGGGUCAAAGUCCGCCUCGGCGGACGCUGAAAGAGGGGGUCGCGGCCGAUUAGCUAGUUGGCGGGGUAAUGGCCCACCAAGGCGAUGAUCGGUAUCCGGCCUGAGAGGGCGCACGGACACACUGGAACUGAAACACGGUCCAGACUCCUACGGGAGGCAGCAGUGGGGAAUUUUGCGCAAUGGGGGAAACCCUGACGCAGCAACGCCGCGUGGAGGAUGAAGUCCCUUGGGACGUAAACUCCUUUCGAUCGGGACGAUAAUGACGGUACCGGAAGAAGAAGCCCCGGCUAACUUCGUGCCAGCAGCCGCGGUAAUACGAGGGGGGCAAGCGUUGUUCGGAAUUAUUGGGCGUAAAGGGUGCGUAGGUGGUUCGGCAAGUCUUGUGUGAAAUCUUCAGGCUCAACCUGAAGUCUGCACAAGAAACUGCCGGGCUUGAGUAUGGGAGAGGUGAGUGGAAUUUCCGGUGUAGCGGUGAAAUGCGUAGAUAUCGGAAGGAACACCUGUGGCGAAAGCGGCUCACUGGACCAUUACUGACA